ACUCCUGCGGGAGGCAGCAGUAGGGAAUCUUCCACAAUGGGUGCAAACCUGAUGGAGCAAUGCCGCGUGAGUGAAGAAGGUCUUCGGAUCGUAAAGCUCUGUUGUUAGAGAAGAACACGUGCUAGGUAACUACUAGCGCCUUGACGGUAUCUAACCAGAAAGUCACGGCUAACUACGUGCCAGCAGCCGCGGUAAUACGUAGGUGACAAGCGUUGUCCGGAUUUAUUGGGCGUAAAGGGAGCGCAGGCGGUCUGUUUAGUCUAAUGUGAAAGCCCACGGCUUAACCGUGGAACGGCAUUGGAAACUGACAGACUUGAAUGUAGAAGAGGAAAAUGGAAUUCCAAGUGUAGCGGUGGAAUGCGUAGAUAUUUGGAGGAACACCAGUGGCGAAGGCGAUUUUCUGGUCUAACAUUGACGCUGAGGCUCGAAAGCGUGGGGAGCGAACAGGAUUAGAAACCCCGGUAGUCCC
This 469-nucleotide ribosomal RNA is filed under the name uncultured organism. RNAcentral describes it as "partial 16S ribosomal RNA". It matches the Rfam family "Bacterial small subunit ribosomal RNA", at positions 335 to 797 of the family's 1533-position model. The record is from RNAcentral.